RNAcentral lists this ribosomal RNA (467 nucleotides) under uncultured bacterium. RNAcentral describes it as "bacterial SSU rRNA". It matches the Rfam family "Bacterial small subunit ribosomal RNA", at positions 329 to 793 of the family's 1533-position model. The record is from RNAcentral.
AGCCAGACUCCUACGGGAGGCAGCAGUGAGGAAUAUUGGUCAAUGGGCGGAGGCCUGAACCAGCCAAGUCGCGUGAGGGAAUAAGGCCCUACGGGUCGUAAACCUCUUUUGCCGGGGAGCAAGGGCCGGGACGCGUCCCGGCCCGGAGAGUACCCGGAGAAAAAGCAUCGGCUAACUCCGUGCCAGCAGCCGCGGUAAUACGGAGGAUGCGAGCGUUAUCCGGAUUUAUUGGGUUUAAAGGGUGCGCAGGCGUUCUGUUAAGUCAGCGGUCAAAGCCCGGGGCUCAACCCCGGCACGCCGUUGAAACUGGCAGUCUCGAGUUGGAGAGAAGUAUGCGGAAUGCGCGGUGUAGCGGUGAAAUGCAUAGAUAUCGCGCAGAACUCCGAUUGCGAAGGCAGCAUGCCGGCUCCACACUGACGCUGAGGCACGAAAGCGUGGGUAUCGAACAGGAUUAGAUACCCUUGUAA